Molecule: long non-coding RNA, 884 nt
Organism: Papaver somniferum (opium poppy)
Lineage: Eukaryota; Viridiplantae; Streptophyta; Magnoliopsida; Ranunculales; Papaveraceae
Exons: 2
Source: RefSeq, a predicted model, not a curated record
UACUAAAAUGAAAACUACAGACAUAUCCCGUUGGCGCACCCAAUUUUUGAAAUAAAAUUUCUACGAAACGUCGAAACCAUAUUUUCUAAAAUUCUGAUUUCGUUUUUUUUUUACCAUCAUAAACACUUUCAGUUCCUCGUUCUUUCUCAGAAAAGCGAUAAUGAUCGUAAGUUUCUCUAGGAUUCGAUCUGAAAUAAAGACAGAGGAGAGGCGGCUGUGAGAAUUUAGAAAAAAAAAAGAAAAAAAAAAGAAAAGAGAAUCAGUGGUCGAGAUAAACGAGUGAUGGAUGCUUGUGGAAGAGAUUGAUGAAUUAUUGUUGUUGUAUGAGGUUCAGAGAUUAAAUGGAGUUAUUGAAGACGUCAGUUCACAGAAAUCAAUCUCAAAGAUGAUGAAGAGGGAAGAAAUAGGGUUUUCUACUGUUGUUUGAAGAUUAAAGGAAGAAGAAGAAGAAAUUGGGUUUCUGUUGAUGUAUACAGAAGAUCAGAUUAAGAGAAUGGAAGAAUCAAUUCGGAUAAGAGAGGCAGCUCAACCAUUAGACCUUAUUGAACUGGUGAAGGGAAUCAAGAAGGAAUUAUCUAGAGCAAAAAGGGGAGUUAAAUAAAACUGCGUCUUUGAGCGAACAAAGAGGUGGGGUUUGCUGAAAUAUCCUCCGUUAUUUCUACAUUUUGGUUUUGAAUACUGUUUGUGUGAUUCAUUAUUUUGAUACUUCAUAGUCAACUUGUAAAGUUAAGUGAUGGAGCAAUCAGUAUAUGUAUGGCCACCAUAAUAUCUUCCUUCGACUAGGUAUAUGGUAGGUUAGCUAUCAUGUAGAUUAUGAAUUCCACUACGAACUUGCUUUAAUAGAUUUCUCGAGCUUUCAGUGAAAUGAGGUAUAAUAAGAUGAA